This is a non-coding RNA of Lineus longissimus, 72 nucleotides long. Lineage: Eukaryota; Metazoa; Nemertea; Pilidiophora; Heteronemertea; Lineidae. The record is from the annotation of a RefSeq genome assembly.
GGCUGUAUGGCCAAAUGGUAAGGUGUCGGUCUCGCAAACUGAAGAUCGCGGGUUCGAAUCCCGCUGGAGCCU